Molecule: ribosomal RNA, 253 nt
Filed under: uncultured bacterium
Lineage: Bacteria
Description: partial 16S ribosomal RNA
Rfam family: Bacterial small subunit ribosomal RNA
Source: RNAcentral
GACGAACCGUGCGAACGUUGUUCGGAAUCACUGGGCUUAAAGGGCGCGUAGGCGGCUCGCCAAGUCGGGGGUGAAAUCUUGCCGCUUAACGGCAAAAGAGCUUCCGAUACUGGCGGGCUGGAGGGGGAUAGGGGUGCGCGGAACUUCCGGUGGAGCGGUGAAAUGCGUAGAUAUCGGAAGGAACGCCGGUGGCGAAAGCGGCGCACUGGAUCCCCACUGACGCUGAGGCGCGAAAGCCAGGGGAGCAAACGGG